GAAAGGCGUGGUUCUAGAUGGGAGCAGAAGACUUGUUGACCCUGGAUGCAUUGCUCACAGUAUCUUAUGCCCUAACACUGGCCCAACACACAUUCUAGAAGCCCGGAGAAGGGAGCAGGACAGACAGACAUCUGGGGUCUUCAAACGGCUGCCUGCCCUGUGGAGUUGGGUCUCAGUGACUUGCAGCAUGAUUCUGAAUGAAGAGAGCCUGGCUGUCUUAGGGUUUCUCUGUAUAGCCCCGGCUGUCCUGGA
Arvicanthis niloticus (Nile rat) is the source of this 252-nucleotide long non-coding RNA. RefSeq lists it as uncharacterized. The record is from RefSeq and is a predicted model, not a curated record. Lineage: Eukaryota; Metazoa; Chordata; Mammalia; Rodentia; Muridae.